This 158-nucleotide ribosomal RNA is filed under the name Haloplaca suaedae. RNAcentral's name for it is "5.8S ribosomal RNA". It matches the Rfam family "5.8S ribosomal RNA". Rfam says of the family: 5.8S ribosomal RNA (5.8S rRNA) is a component of the large subunit of the eukaryotic ribosome. The record is from RNAcentral. Lineage: Eukaryota; Fungi; Ascomycota; Lecanoromycetes; Teloschistales; Teloschistaceae.
AAAACUUUCAACAACGGAUCUCUUGGUUCUGGCAUCGAUGAAGAACGCAGCGAAAUGCGAUAAGUAAUGUGAAUUGCAGAAUUCAGUGAAUCAUCGAAUCUUUGAACGCACAUUGCGCCCCUUGGUAUUCCGAGGGGCAUGCCUGUCCGAGCGUCAUU